This is a non-coding RNA of Brachypodium distachyon (stiff brome), 133 nucleotides long. NCBI's taxonomy places the organism in Eukaryota, Viridiplantae, Streptophyta, Magnoliopsida, Poales, Poaceae. The record is from Rfam.
UAUAUACUCCUUCCGCCAAAAAAAGAUGUCUCAAGUUUGUCAAAAUAUGUAUGUAUCUAGACAUGACUUAGUGUAUAGAUGCAUUCAAAUUUGGUCAAUUUGAGACAUCUUUUGUUGGACGGAGGAGUACCAA